GUAAUUGUUGCAGAAAUUGACAGAAAACUCAUUGAAACAGUAGCAUUCAUCAACCUAUUAACAGCAACACCAAUACCAGCACCCAAUGCCCUGUACUUAAGUGGAAAUAUUUCAGCACUAUAUACCCAAGUAACAGGCCCAAGCCCUAUGUUAAAAAACAUCACAACUCCAUAAGUUGUAAUUAUGGUAUAUACCCAAGUAACAGGCCCAAGCCCAAUGUUAAAAAACAUCACAACUCCAUAAGUUGUAAUUAUGCUAAGGACCAAAGCCCAAAUAAGUUUCCCACCAGAAUUUUCUGCCAAAGUCAAGAAAAUUCCAAGUGCAGUUAAUGUCACUACCAUCCCACUUAAACUUGUUAACA
RNAcentral lists this long non-coding RNA (361 nucleotides) under Nicotiana benthamiana. RNAcentral describes it as "long non-coding RNA (NBEN_LNC016530)". Lineage: Eukaryota; Viridiplantae; Streptophyta; Magnoliopsida; Solanales; Solanaceae. The record is from RNAcentral.